RNAcentral lists this ribosomal RNA (253 nucleotides) under uncultured bacterium. RNAcentral's name for it is "partial 16S ribosomal RNA". It matches the Rfam family "Bacterial small subunit ribosomal RNA", at positions 524 to 776 of the family's 1533-position model. The record is from RNAcentral.
UACGUAGGGACCAAGCGUUGUCCGGAAUCAUUGGGCGUAAAGAGCGUGUAGGCGGCUUGUUAAGUCUUGCGUGAAAUCUCGGGGCUCAACCCCGAGCGGUCGUGAGAAACUGGCAGGCUAAAGUGCGGGAGAGGAGAGUGGAAUUCCUGGUGUAGCGGUGAAAUGCGCAGAUAUCAGGAAGAACACCCGUGGCGAAGGCGGCUCUCUGGAACGCAACUGACGCUGAGACGCGAAAGCGUGGGGAGCAAACAGG